Molecule: unclassified non-coding RNA, 236 nt
Filed under: Basidiomycota sp.
Lineage: Eukaryota; Fungi; Basidiomycota
Description: partial contains small subunit ribosomal RNA, internal transcribed spacer 1, and 5.8S ribosomal RNA
Rfam family: Eukaryotic small subunit ribosomal RNA (bases 1-47)
Source: RNAcentral
AAAGUCGUAACAAGGUUUCCGUAGGUGAACCUGCGGAAGGAUCAUUAACGAAUAUACCGGGUUUUUACUAGCCCAUCCUAUUCUUAUCACCCGUGCUCUUUACUCCGAGUCUUUGAAAAAGGACGCCUGGACGAGUAAAGUUUUCUAUAUUAAUACGUAUGUCUGAACUUAAUCGGGUAGUCCCCGACAAUUUAAUAAUUGAAACAAAACUAUGAACAACGGAUCUCUUGGCUCUU